This 450-nucleotide ribosomal RNA is filed under the name uncultured bacterium. RNAcentral describes it as "bacterial SSU rRNA". It matches the Rfam family "Bacterial small subunit ribosomal RNA", at positions 29 to 524 of the family's 1533-position model. The record is from RNAcentral.
AACGAACGCUGGCGGCAUGCCUAACACAUGCAAGUCGAACGAAGUCUUCGGACUUAGUGGCGCACGGGUGCGUAACGCGUGGGAAUCUGCCCUUGGGUGCGGAAUAACUUCUCGAAAGGGAUGCUAAUACCGCAUAAUGUCGUAAGACCAAAGAUUUAUCGCCCAAGGAUGAGCCCGCGUAAGAUUAGCUAGUUGGUGGGGUAAAAGCCUACCAAGGCGACGAUCUUUAGCUGGUCUGAGAGGAUGAUCAGCCACACUGGGACUGAGACACGGCCCAGACUCCUACGGGAGGCAGCAGUGGGGAAUCUUGCGCAAUGGGCGAAAGCCUGACGCAGCCAUGCCGCGUGAAUGAUGAAGGUCUUAGGAUUGUAAAAUUCUUUCACCGGGGACGAUAAUGACGGUACCCGGAGAAGAAGCCCCGGCUAACUUCGUGCCAGCAGCCGCGGUAAU